This 82-nucleotide transfer RNA is filed under the name Marseillevirus LCMAC202. RNAcentral's name for it is "tRNA-Thr". The stretch from base 15 to 70 matches the Rfam family "tRNA", at positions 8 to 63 of the family's 71-position model. Rfam says of the family: Transfer RNA (tRNA) molecules are approximately 80 nucleotides in length. Their secondary structure includes four short double-helical elements and three loops (D, anti-codon, and T loops). The record is from RNAcentral. Lineage: Varidnaviria; Bamfordvirae; Nucleocytoviricota; Megaviricetes; Pimascovirales; Marseilleviridae.
GCGAAAGUUAUCGGUAGUUCAAUGGUAGAACAAAUUCCUAGUGAGAAUUAGACCUCAGUUCAAUUCUGGGAGGACUUUAGCA